Molecule: ribosomal RNA, 375 nt
Filed under: uncultured bacterium
Lineage: Bacteria
Description: bacterial SSU rRNA
Rfam family: Bacterial small subunit ribosomal RNA
Source: RNAcentral
UAGGGAAUAUUGCACAAUGGGCGAAAGCCUGAUGCAGCAACGCCGCGUGUGCGAUGAAGGCCUUCGGGUCGUAAAGCACUUUUCAGGGAGAUGAGAAAGGACAGUAUCUCAGGAAUAAGUCUCGGCUAACUACGUGCCAGCAGGCGCGGUUCAACGUAGGAGGCAAGCGUUAUCCGGAUUCACUGGGUUUAAAGCGCGUGCAGGCGGUUCGGUAAGUUGGGCGUGAAAUCUCCUGGCUCAACUAGGAGAGGUCGUUCAAUACUACCGGGCUUGAGAGUGGUAGAGGACGAUGUAAUUCCCGGUGUAGUGGUGAAAUGCGUAGAUAUCGGAAGGAACACCAGUGGCUAAGGCGAUCUUCUGGACCAUUUCUGACGC